UACCAGCCCCCGAGUGGUAAGGAUGAUUAUUUGGCCUAAAAGCGUUCGUAGCCGGCUUAGUAAGUCCUUCGUGAAAUCCGACGGCUCAACCGUCGGGCGUGCGAGGGAUACUGCCGAGCUUGAGGACGGGAGAGGUCGACGGUAGUCUAAGGGUAGGGGUGAAAUCCUAUAAUCCUUGGAGGACCACCAGUGGCGAAGGCGGUCGACUAGAACGUGCCUGACGGUGAUGGACGAAAGCUGGGGGAGCGAACCGGAUUAGAUACCCCGGGUAGUCCCAGCUGUAAACGAUGCGGGCUAGGUGUUGGGGUAGCCACGAGCUACUUCAGUGCCGCAGAGAAGUUGUUAAGCCCGCCGCCUGGGGAGUACGGUCGCAAGACUGAAACUUAAAGGAAUUGGCGGGGAGCACCACAAGGGGUGAAGGCUGCGGUUU
RNAcentral lists this ribosomal RNA (430 nucleotides) under uncultured archaeon. Its description in RNAcentral is "bacterial SSU rRNA". It matches the Rfam family "Archaeal small subunit ribosomal RNA", at positions 474 to 903 of the family's 1478-position model. The record is from RNAcentral.